CGCGUAGUUAGCCGGGGCUUCUUACUCAGGUACCGUCAUUUUCUUCCCUGCUGAUAGAGCUUUACAUCACGAAUGACUUCUUCACUCACGCGGCGUUGCUGCAUCAGGGUUUCCCCCAUUGUGCAAUAUUCCCCACUGCUGCCUCCCGUAGGAGUUUGGGCCGUGUCUCAGUCCCAAUGUGGCCGUUCACCCUCUCAGGCCGGCUACUGAUCGUCGCCUUGGUGGGCUUCUACCCCGCCAACCAGCUAAUCAGACGCGGAUCCAUCUUACACCACCGGAGUUUUUCACACUGAGCCAUGCGGCUCUGUGCACUUAUGCGGUAUUAGCACCUAUUUCUAAGUGUUAUCCCCCAGUGUAAGGCAGGUUAUCCACGCGUUACUCACCCGUCGCCACUAAGUUACGAAUCACUAGGUUCAUCGUAACUCCGUUCGACUUGCAUGUGUUAGGCACGCCGCCAGCGUUCAUCCUGAGCCAGGAUCAAACUCU
RNAcentral lists this ribosomal RNA (486 nucleotides) under uncultured Lachnospiraceae bacterium. RNAcentral describes it as "partial 16S ribosomal RNA". The record is from RNAcentral. Lineage: Bacteria; Bacillati; Bacillota; Clostridia; Lachnospirales; Lachnospiraceae.